AUAUGACAAAAACACAAAAAAAAAUUCCCUUUACCACCCACGAGGCCACGAUACACGGUUCAUCUCAACUCCCCAAAAAUUUCUCCAGAACGCUAAACUGAAGUUCUCAUCCCCAAUUCCCCAAAUCCAAAACUUCAAGGGUUUCCUUCAAACUAAAAUCAUCGAGUUUUCUUCAAUUGGAAAUUUAUCGAAUUCAUUUGCGAUUUUGCUAGCAUCUCUAGAGAACCAUUACUGAUGACGAAAUUUAGUUGUGGAGGUUUUAAAUUACUUCUUCUUCUUGGUUUUAAGGGGAUGCAGUCCAAGAGGAUUUUGAAGGAGCUAAAGGAGAAAGAUCCUUCUGCUUCUCGGAAUGAUGGUUGUUGACAAACUGUAUGAAGCACUAGACAAAUGCAAAGACAUACUUGCUAAACAACGAUAU
Molecule: long non-coding RNA, 418 nt
Organism: Spinacia oleracea (spinach)
Lineage: Eukaryota; Viridiplantae; Streptophyta; Magnoliopsida; Caryophyllales; Amaranthaceae
Exons: 3
Source: RefSeq, a predicted model, not a curated record